CUUUAUAUCUAGAUCAUGAACACAUUUCAAUCUUACCUUGAUAUAUACAGUGUUAUAUGUGGGCAAUGCCUAGUUUAUGCUAGUUUCCAAUUUUCCCAGCAAUUUUUCUCAAAUAGUGAGUUCUUAUUCCAAAAGUUGGGGUCUUUAGGUUUGUCAAAUACUAGAUUGUUAUAGUUAUAGACUAUUUUAUUCUGUGAACCUAACCUAUUCCACUGGUCAAAUACUCUAUUUCUUAGCCAAAUACUUUUGAAGAUUGUAACUUUGUAAUAUAGUUUUAGAUUUGGGACAAUUAGGCAACCUUUAUUUCCUUUUUUUUUUCAUUAAUUCCCUUGAAAUUCUUGACAUUUUGUUCUUCCAGAUGAAUUUUUUUAGUAUUUUUUCUAGGUCAGUAAAAUAGUUUUGUGGGUGUAUGAUUGGUAUAGCACUAAAUAAAUAGAUUAGUUUAGGCAGUAUUGUCAUCUUUAUUAUAUUCACUCAAUCUAUCCAAGAGCACUUGAUACUUUUCUAAUUUUUAGAUCUGACUUCAUUUGUGUGGAAAGUGUUUUGUAGUUUUGUUCAUAUACUUCCUGAGUUUCCCUUGGCAGAUAGAUUCCCAAAUAUUUUAUCCUAUAUUGACAGUUAUUUUAAAUGGAAUUUCUUUUUUUAAUCUCUUGAUAUUGGAUUUUGUUAAUGAUGUAUAAAAAUGCUUUAUGAUCUAUGUGGAUUUUUUUGCAUCCUGUAACUUUCCUAAAGUUGUGGAUUACUUCUAAUAGCUUUUUAGUUGAUUCUCUAGGAUUCUCUAGGUAUAUAUUAUCUGCAAAAAGUGAUAAUUUGGUUUCCUCAUUACCUACUCUAAUCCCUUUAAUUUCUUUUUCUUCUUUUAUUGCCAAAGCUAGCAUUUCUAAUACAAUAUUGAAUAGUAAUGGUGAUAGUGGGCAAUCUUGUUUCACCCCUGAGCUUAUUGGGAAUGGUUCCAGUUUAUCCUCAUUACAUAUGAUGCUUGCUGAUGUUUUUAAAUAGAUGCUACUGACUAUUUUAAGAAAAAGUCCAUUUAUUCCUAUACUCGCUAGUGUUUCUAAAUAGGAAUUGCUGUUGGAGUUUAUCAAAUGCUUUUUCUGCAUCUAUUGAGAUGAUCAUAUGGUUUUUGUUAAUUUGGUUAUUGAUAUAGUCAAUUAUGCUAAUAGUUUUUUUUAAUAUUGAACCAGCCAUGUAUUCCUGGUAUAAAUCCUACUUGGUCAUGGUGUAUUAUCCUGGGAAUGAUUUUCUGUAAUAUCUUUCCAAAUAUUUUAUUUAAGAUUUUUGCAUUAAUAUUCAUUACAGAGAUUGGUCUAUAAUUUUCUUUCUCUGUUUUCAUCCUACCUGGUUUAGGUAUCAGUAUCAUGUCUGUGUCAUAAAAGGAAUUUUUCAAAUAGUUUAUGUAGCAUUGGAGUUAAUUGUUCUUUAAAUGUUUGGUAGAAUUCACAUGUAAAUCCUUUUCGUCCUGGGGAUUUUUUCUUAAAGACCUGAUUAAAACAGAGAAAUGUAAAUUAAGACAAUUUUGAGAUACCACUACACACCUGUCAGAUUGGCUAGAAUGACAGGGAAAAAUAAUGUGGAAUGUUGGAGGGGAUGUGAGAAAACUGGGACACUGAUACAUUGUUGGUGGAGUUGUGAAUACAUCCAGCCAUUCUGGAGAGCAAUUUGUAACUAUGCUCAAAAAGCUAUCAAACUGUGCAAACUCUUUGACCCAGCAGUGUUACUACUAGGCUUAUAUCCCAAAGAGAUUUUAAAGAAGGGAAAGGGGCCUCUAUGGGCAAGAAUGUUUGUGGCAGCCAUCUUUGUGCUGGCCAGAAACUGGAAACUGAAUGGAUGCCCAUCAAUUGGAGAAUAGCUGAAUAAAUUGUGGUAUAUAAAUAUUAUGGAAUAUUAUUGCUCUGUAAGAAAUGACCAGCAGGAUGAUUUCAGAAAGGCCUGGAGAGAUUUACAUGAACUGAUGCUGAGUGAAAUAAGCAGGACCAGAAGACCAUUAUAUACUUCAACAACAAUACUAUAUGAUGAUCAGUUCUGAUGGACAUGGCCCUCUUCAACAAUGAGAUGAACCAAAUCAGUUGCAAUGGAGCAGUAAUGAACUGAACCAUCUACACCCAGGGAAAGAACUCUGGGAGAUGGCUAUGAACCACUACAUAGAAUUCCCAAUCCUUCUAUUUUUGUCUGCCUACAUUUUUGAUUUCCUUCACAGGCUAAUUGUCCACUAUUUCAAAAUCCGACUCUUUUUAUAUAGC
This is a long non-coding RNA of Sarcophilus harrisii (Tasmanian devil), 2240 nucleotides long. NCBI's taxonomy places the organism in Eukaryota, Metazoa, Chordata, Mammalia, Dasyuromorphia, Dasyuridae. The record is from Ensembl.